RNAcentral lists this ribosomal RNA (499 nucleotides) under uncultured bacterium. RNAcentral describes it as "bacterial SSU rRNA". It matches the Rfam family "Bacterial small subunit ribosomal RNA", at positions 15 to 518 of the family's 1533-position model. The record is from RNAcentral.
GAUUCUGGCUCAGGAUGAACGCUGGCGGCGUGCUUAACACAUGCAAGUCGAACGGAGUUUUAACGGAAGUUUCGGAUGGAAGUUAAAACUUAGUGGCGGACGGGUGAGUAACGCGUGGGUAACCUGCCUCAUACAGGGGGAUAACAGUUAGAAAUGACUGCUAACACCGCAUAAUAUAGCGAAACCGCAUGAUUUUGCUAUCAAAUAUUUAUAGGUAUGAGAUGGGCCCGCGUCUGAUUAGCUAGUUGGUGGGGUAAAAGCCUACCAAGGCGACGAUCAGUAGCCGGCUUGAGAGAGUGACCGGCCACAUUGGGACUGAGACACGGCCCAAACUCCUACGGGAGGCAGCAGUGGGGAAUAUUGGACAAUGGGGGAAACCCUGAUCCAGCGAACCGCCGCGUGAGUGAAGAAGUAUUUCGGUAUGUAAAGCUCUAUCAGCAGGGAAGAUAAUGACAGUACCUGACUAAGAAGCCCCGGCUAACUACGUGCCAGCCGCUGC